Molecule: non-coding RNA, 86 nt
Submitted as: unclassified sequences
Source: Rfam
GUACGUUCAUCGCAUUCGCCUACCAGGACAAGUUACCAGUAGUGAAUGACGACGCAGGCAACCUACUCAUGGAACGGGGGGUAGGU